Molecule: ribosomal RNA, 460 nt
Filed under: uncultured Streptococcus sp.
Lineage: Bacteria; Bacillati; Bacillota; Bacilli; Lactobacillales; Streptococcaceae
Description: bacterial SSU rRNA
Rfam family: Bacterial small subunit ribosomal RNA
Source: RNAcentral
AACGGGUGAGUAACGCGUAGGUAACCUGCCUGGUAGCGGGGGAUAACUAUUGGAAACGAUAGCUGAUACCGCAUAAUAGUAGAUGUUGCAUGACAUUUGUCUUAAAAGGUUAGCAAUUGCAUCACUACCACGAUGGACCUGCGUUGUAUUAGCUAGUUGGUGAGGUAACGGCUCACCAAGGCAACGAUACAUAGCCGACCUGAGAGGGUGAUCGGCCACACUGGGACUGAGACACGGCCCAGACUCCUACGGGAGGCAGCAGUAGGGAAUCUUCGGCAAUGGACGGAAGUCUGACCGAGCAACGCCGCGUGAGUGAAGAAGGUUUUCGGAUCGUAAAGCUCUGUUGUAAGAGAAGAACGAGUGUGAGAGUGGAAAGUUCACACUGUGACGGUAUCUUACCAGAAGGACCGGCUAACUACGUGCCAGCAGCCGCGGUAAUACGUAGGUCCCGAGCGUUGUC